GUACAGUGUCUCCAUGUAGAGCGUGAAGACAUUCAAGGUGGGUGCUGCACACAGUGCAGAACUGACCCAGUAAGCACCUCUAGUAGCCAUCUGAGUAGUUUCCACCAGGUGUUUCUCUGAAAAGCAUUGUUUACAUUAAAAAGUCUGCAUGGGCGUACUCAAGACACCAGAACCACUGCAUUAAGCUGUAGUUGUCCUGGUUACUACAGCAUCCC
Molecule: non-coding RNA, 215 nt
Organism: Pelobates cultripes (western spadefoot toad)
Lineage: Eukaryota; Metazoa; Chordata; Amphibia; Anura; Pelobatidae
Source: the annotation of a GenBank genome assembly